UACGUAGGGUGCGAGCGUUAAUCGGAAUUACUGGGCGUAAAGCGUGCGCAGGCGGUCUGUUAAGACCGAUGUGAAAUCCCCGGGCUUAACCUGGGAACUGCAUUGGUGACUGGCAGGCUUUGAGUGUGGCAGAGGGGGGUAGAAUUCCACGUGUAGCAGUGAAAUGCGUAGAGAUGUGGAGGAAUACCGAUGGCGAAGGCAGCCUCCUUGGCCAACACUGACGCUCAUGCACGAAAGCGUGGGGAGCAAACAGG
RNAcentral lists this ribosomal RNA (254 nucleotides) under uncultured bacterium. Its description in RNAcentral is "partial 16S ribosomal RNA". It matches the Rfam family "Bacterial small subunit ribosomal RNA", at positions 524 to 776 of the family's 1533-position model. The record is from RNAcentral.